UUGUAGGCUGAAACUCGCCUACAUGAAGCUGGAGUUACUAGUAAUCGCAGAUCAGAAUGCUGCGGUGAAUGCGUUCCCGGGUCUCGUACACACCGCCCGUCACACCACGGAAGUUGGGGGCGCCCGAAGCCACUUAGCUAACCCUUUUGGGAAGCGAGUGUCGAAGGUGAAAUCAAUAACUGGGGUGAAGUCGUAACAAGGUACC
This 205-nucleotide ribosomal RNA is filed under the name uncultured bacterium. Its description in RNAcentral is "partial 16S ribosomal RNA". It matches the Rfam family "Bacterial small subunit ribosomal RNA", at positions 1298 to 1500 of the family's 1533-position model. The record is from RNAcentral.